This is a long non-coding RNA of Oncorhynchus keta (chum salmon), 1070 nucleotides long. RefSeq lists it as uncharacterized. The transcript is spliced from 3 exons. Lineage: Eukaryota; Metazoa; Chordata; Actinopteri; Salmoniformes; Salmonidae. The record is from RefSeq and is a predicted model, not a curated record.
GUCUUCGUAUUGGAGAUGUAUUUGGUAAAAACAGGACAUAAAGAUUGAGAUGUCUUCGUAUUGGAGAUGUAUUUGGUAAAAACAGGACAUAAAGAUUGAGAUGUCUUCGUAUUGGAGAUGUAUUUGGUAAAAACAGACAUAAAGAUUGAGAUGUCUUCGUAUUGGAGAUGUAUUUGGUAAAAACAGGACAUAAAGAUUGAGAUGUCUUCGUAUUGGAGAUGUAUUUGGUAAAAACAGGACAUAAAGAUUGAGAUGUCUUCGUAUUGGAGAUGUAUUUGGUAAAAACAGACAUAAAGAUUGAGAUGUCUUCGUAUUGGAGAUGUAUUUGGUAAAAACAGACAUAAAGAUUGAGAUGUCUUCGUAUUGGAGAUGUAUUUGGUAAAAACAGGACAUAAAGAUUGAGAUGUCUGUUUGCCAUGGUAAAAACAGGACAUAAAGAUUGAGAUGUCUGUUUGCCAUGGUAAAAACAGACAUAAAGAUUGAGAUGUCUGUUUGCCAUGGUAAAAACAGGACAUAAAGAUUGAGAUGUCUUCGUAUUGGAGAUGUAUUUGGUAAAAACAGGACAUAAAGAUUGAGAUGUCUGUUUGCCAUGGUAAAAACAGACAUAAAGAUUGAGAUGUCAGUUUGCCAUGGUAAAAACAGGACAUAAAGAUUGAGAUGUCUUCGUAUUGGAGAUGUAUUUGGUAAAAACAGGACAUAAAGAUUGAGAUGUCUUCGUAUUGGAGAUGUAUUUGGUAAAAACAGACAUAAAGAUUGAGAUGUCUUCGUAUUGGAGAUGUAUUUGGUAAAAACAGGACAUAAAGAUUGAGAUGUAUUUGGUAAAAACAGACAUAAAGAUUGAGAUGUCUUCGUAUUGGAGAUGUAUUUGGUAAAAACAGGACAUAAAGAUUGAGAUGUCUUCGUAUUGGAGAUGUAUUUGGUAAAAACAGGACACUUGUCAUCUCAAAGCACAAACAAUGACAGACAGAAAACCAGCAGAGUCAAUGCUAAAUAACAUUGGCCUGUAUGUAUGUGUGAAAGAUAAUACUCGCUUGUCAAAAGUAGUGCACUAUAAAGGGAAUAGGGAACCA